AUUUUCACGCUAAACAUUUACUGGACUGAUUUAAACAUUAAAAUCACUCCUUUCUGAUCCUCUGCUGUACGUUCAAACCUGAGGCCUUAAAUAGAAACACACAAGUAUCUGAUUGAAGGAACUUCUGCAGAGUCCUGGUUCCAGAACAUGAUGAUAGAAUUAUAGACAAACUUUAACAAAAGCUGCCUGAGAGUUUACAGGUUUUUAUGUUGGAUUUAAUGAGUUAUCAGCAAAAAUCAAGUGUUCAUUUGAUGAACUUCAUUUCCUAAAACAUCCAGAAUUGGAGCUCAUAUCUUUGGCAGCUGUAAAGUUUCUGCUCCUUCAAAGUUCACAACACAAUGAAUUAAUUCCUAAAACACUCUCAAUGCUGGAGAACGUUUGUGAUGCUGAAGCAGUGACCAGUUUUUCUGUUUCUUCUCUGGAGAUGCACAAUGAGGGACGUCUGCAGAGACUGAGAAAGAGUCUCACCACAUCCUGACAUGAGGAAAAAGACUUUAUUGAAGACUACAAUGAGAAAAACUAUCAGACAGCAGAUGGCUGCAUUCAAGUCUGUAGCUGCUGAAUUCAUGGAUGAAUCAUCUAGCACUAGAGAAGAAGACCAUCAAACAUCCACGUCAGCUGAUGGAGAUCAAAGAGUCUCACCAAACAAACAACCUACAGAGUGAAGACCUCGAAUCUGAUUGGAUGGCCUCCUAUUCAGCCACAUUUUAGGCUGUUAGAUUGUUCCAGAUAAGACAAGUACAAGAUUCUUCAGAGCCGUUCUACCACGAGCCUGACAGGAAGAACUCCAACAGCUACUGAAUGUUCCUGUGGUCCCCUCAAGGCUACAGGAGGAGCCCUACGAGGACGAGCCGGUCCACCUGAUGGCGGCCAGUCGCUGCGGUUCAAAGCCAACACCGACUACAUGGACUUCUACUGGAC
Long non-coding RNA from Amphiprion ocellaris (clown anemonefish), 921 nucleotides. Lineage: Eukaryota; Metazoa; Chordata; Actinopteri; Pomacentridae. The record is from Ensembl.